GACGAACGCUGGCGGCGUGCCUAAUACAUGCAAGUCGAACGCAAAACUUUCACCAAAUGCUUGCAUUCACGAAAGUUUUGAGUGGCGAACGGGUGAGUAACACGUGGGUAACCUGCCCAGAAGAGGGGGAUAACACUUGGAAACAGGUGCUAAUACCGCAUAAUAACAAAAACCGCAUGGUUUUUGUUUGAAAGAUGGCUUUGCUAUCACUUCCGGAUGGACCCGCGGCGUAUUAGCUAGUUGGUAAGGUAAAGGCUUACCAAGGCAAUGAUACGUAGCCGAACUGAGAGGUUGAUCGGCCACAUUGGGACUGAGACACGGCCCAAACUCCUACGGGAGGCAGCAGUAGGGAAUCUUCCACAAUGGACGAAAGUCUGAUGGAGCAACGCCGCGUGAGUGAAGAAGGUUUUCGGAUCGUAAAACUCUGUUGUUAGAGAAGAACGUGUGUGAGAGUAACUGCUCAUGCAGUGACGGUAUCUAACCAGAAAGCCACGGCUAACUACGUGCCAGCCGCCGCAGUAA
Molecule: ribosomal RNA, 522 nt
Filed under: uncultured bacterium
Lineage: Bacteria
Description: partial 16S ribosomal RNA
Rfam family: Bacterial small subunit ribosomal RNA
Source: RNAcentral